Molecule: small RNA, 307 nt
Filed under: uncultured bacterium
Lineage: Bacteria
Description: bacterial SSU rRNA
Rfam family: Bacterial small subunit ribosomal RNA (bases 1-273)
Source: RNAcentral
GUGCCCGCAAGGGUGCUAGUGGCGGACGGCUGAGUAACACGUAAGUGACCUGCCCUCCAGUGGGGAAUAACUGCUCGAAAGAGUGGCUAAUACCGCAUGGGCUUGCCGUUUCGGUAUGGCAAGCAAAGCGGCGAUGCGCUGGGGGAUGGGCUUGCGGCCGAUUAGCUAGUUGGUGGUGUAAGGGCCUACCAGGGCGAUGAUCGGUAGCUGGUCUGAGAGGAUGAUCAGCCAGACUUUUUUUCUUCUGACACGGCGAAGACUCCUACGGGUGUCCCUGUGGGUGUAUCUAGAAGUCUCCUACAAAUUC